This 465-nucleotide ribosomal RNA is filed under the name uncultured bacterium. Its description in RNAcentral is "partial 16S ribosomal RNA". It matches the Rfam family "Bacterial small subunit ribosomal RNA", at positions 338 to 795 of the family's 1533-position model. The record is from RNAcentral.
CCUACGGGGGGCAGCAGUGGGGAAUAUUGCGCAAUGGGCGAAAGCCUGACGCAGCGACGCCGCGUGAGGGAUGAAGGUCUUCGGAUCGUAAACCUCUGUCAGCAGGGAAGAACGGUCACUGUGCUAAUCAGCAGUGAAUUGACGGUACCUGCAAAGGAAGCACCGGCUAACUCCGUGCCAGCAGCCGCGGUAAUACGGAGGGUGCGAGCGUUAAUCGGAAUUACUGGGCGGAAAGCGCUCGUAGGCGGUAUGUCAAGUCAAGGGUGAAAUCCCCGGGCUCAACGUGGGAACUGCCUUUGAAACUGGCAAACUGGAGUGUGUGAGAGGAUAGUGGAAUUCCAGGUGUAGGAGUGAAAUGCGUAGAUAUCUGGAGGAACAUCAGUGGCGAAGGCGACUAUCUGGCACAUAACUGACGCUGAGGAGCGAAAGCGUGGGUAGCAAACAGGAUUAGAUACCCGGGUAGUC